This 220-nucleotide unclassified non-coding RNA is filed under the name plant metagenome. RNAcentral's name for it is "partial contains small subunit ribosomal RNA, internal transcribed spacer 1, and 5.8S ribosomal RNA". The record is from RNAcentral.
UUUCCGUAGGUGAACCUGCGGAAGGAUCAUUACAGAGUUCAUGCCCUCACGGGUAGAUCUCCCACCCUUGAAUAUUUAUACCUUAGUUGCUUUGGCAGGCCGUGGAAACACCAUGGGCUCCGGCUUAUGCGUGCCUGCCAGAGGAAACGAACUCUGUUUUUAGUGAUGUCUGAGUACUAUAUAAUAGUUAAAACUUUCAACAACGGAUCUCUUGGUUCUG